Molecule: ribosomal RNA, 1398 nt
Filed under: uncultured bacterium
Lineage: Bacteria
Description: partial 16S ribosomal RNA
Rfam family: Bacterial small subunit ribosomal RNA
Source: RNAcentral
CAUGCAAGUCGAACGGCAGCACGCGGGCAACCCCGGUGGCGAGUGGCGAACGGGUGAGUAAUACAUCGGAACGUAUCUUCGAGUGGGGGAUAACGCACCGAAAGGUGUGCUAAUACCGCAUAAUCUCUCCGGAGAAAAGCAGGGGAUCGAAAGACCUUGCGCUCCUAGAGCGGCCGAUGUCUGAUUAGCUAGUUGGUGGGGUAAAGGCUUACCAAGGCGACGAUCAGUAGCUGGUCUGAGAGGACGACCAGCCACACUGGGACUGAGACACGGCCCAGACUCCUACGGGAGGCAGCAGUGGGGAAUUUUGGACAAUGGGGGAAACCCUGAUCCAGCCAUGCCGCGUGAGUGAAGAAGGCCUUCGGGUUGUAAAGCUCUUUCAGCCGGAACGAAACGGUCACGGCUAAUACCCGUGACUACUGACGGUACCGGAAGAAGAAGCACCGGCUAACUACGUGCCAGCAGCCGCCGUAAUACGUAGGGUGCGAGCGUUAAUCCGAAUUACUGGGCGUAAAGCUGCGCAAGCCGUUUUGUAAGUCAGAUGUGAAAUCCCCGGGCUUAACCUGGGAACUGCGUUUGAAACUACAAGGCUAGAGUGUGGCAGAGGGGGGUGGAAUUCCACGUGUAGCAGUGAAAUGCGUAGAGAUGUGGAGGAACACCGAUGGCGAAGGCAGCCCCCUGGGCCAAUACUGACGCUCAUGCACGAAAGCGUGGGGAGCAAACAGGAGUAGAUACCCUGGUAGUCCACGCCCUAAACGAUGUCAACUAGUUGUUGGGGAUUCAUUUCCUUAGUAACGUAGCUAACGCGUGAAGUUGACCGCCUCCCCACUACGCCCCCAACAUUAAAACUCAAAGGAAUGGACGGGAACCCGCACAAGCGGUGGAUGAUGUGCAUUAAUCCGAUGCAACGCGAAAAACCUUACCUACCCUUGACAUGGUCGGAAUCCUGCUGAGAGGUGGGAGUGCUCGAAAGAGAACCGGCGCACAGGUGCUGCAUGGCUGUCGUCAGCUGGUGUCCUGAGAUGUUGGGUUAAGUCCCGAAAAGAGCGCAACCCUUGUCCUUAGUUGCCAUCUUACGCAAGAGCACUCCAAGGAGACUGCCGGUGACAAACCGGAGGAAGGUGGGGAUGACGUCAAGUCCUCAUGGCCCUUAUGGGUAGGGCUUCACACGUCAUACAAUGGUCGGAACAGAGGGUUGCCAACCCGCGAGGGGGAGCUAAUCCCAGAAAACCGAUUGUAGUCCGGAUUGCACUCCCCAACUGGAGUGCAUCAAGCUGGAAUCGCUAGUAAUCGACGAUCAGCAUCCCGCCCUGAAUACCUUCCCGGAUUUUGCACACACCCCCCCUCACACCAGGGGAGUGGGCUUCACCAGAAGUGGGUAGUCUAACGGCAAGGAGG